Long non-coding RNA from Selaginella moellendorffii, 312 nucleotides. RefSeq lists it as uncharacterized. The record is from RefSeq and is a predicted model, not a curated record. The transcript has 2 exons. Lineage: Eukaryota; Viridiplantae; Streptophyta; Lycopodiopsida; Selaginellales; Selaginellaceae.
GUCGGGCAAUCGAAUCUACUGUUGCAGCAAUUGCCACGCCCACGCCGCCGAUCACGAGGAAGUCGUGUCCAAGCAAUUCCAUGGCCGAUACGGUCGCGCCUAUCUCUUUAACAAAGUGAUACAGCCUACGAGGAGAGGGAGAAGUACAAAGAAGGCAAAUUUAUCAUCGAAAAGAAGAAGAUGACCAAAGAGAAUUGGUAGAGCGAUGGCACUUCUCUUUUGUACAGACCGGAGGUAAAGAAAAAGAUCCCGAAAAGAAAUCACGGCGUCAAGGAAAGUUUGUCGUCAAUAAAGGCCUAAAGUUUUGGUUCG